AACGUACGCUGGCGGCACGCCUAACACAUGCAAGUCGAACACAGUAGCAAUACUGAGUGGCAAACGGGUGAGUAUAAUGUGGGAAUCUGCCUUUUGGUUUGGAAUAACGCGAGGAAACUUGUGCUAAUACCGAAUAAGCCUUCACAGGGAAAGUUUUAACGCCGAAAGAUGAGCCCGCACUUGAUUAGCUAGUUGGUAAGGUAAAAGCUUACCAAGGCAAUGAUCAAUAGCUGUUCUUAGAGGAAGACCAGCCACAUUGGGACUGAGACACGGCCCAGACUCCUACGGGAGGCAGCAGUGGGGAAUCUUGCACAAUGGGGGAAACCCUGAUGCAGCGAUGCCGCGUGAGUGAAGAAGGCCUUUGGGUUGUAAAACUCUUUCGUCGGGGAAGAAAAUGACUGUACCCGAAUAAGAAGGUCCGGCUAACUUCGUGCCAGCAGCCGCGGUAAUACGAAGGGACCUAGCGUAGUUCGGAAUUACUGGGCUUAAAGAGCUCGUAGGUGGUUAAAAAAGUUGAUGGUGAAAUCCCAAGGCUUAACCUUGGAACUGCCAUCAAAACUUUUUAGCUAGAGUGUGAUAGAGGUAAGUGGAAUUUCUAGUGUAGAGGUGAAAUUCGUAGAUAUUAGAAAGAACACCAAAUGCGAAGGCAACUUACUGGGUCACUACUGACACUGAGGAGCGAAAGCAUGGGUAGCGAAGAGGAUUAGAUACCCUCGUAGUCCAUGCCGUAAACGAUGUGUGCUAGACGUUGGAAAUAUAUUUUUCAGUGUCGCAGCGAAAGCAUUAAGCACACCGCCCUGGGGAGUACGACCGCAAGGUUAAAACUCAAAUGAAUUGACGGGGACCCGCACAAGCAGUGGAGCAUGUGGUUUAAUUCGAAGAUACGCGCAGAACCUUACCAACACUUGACAUGUUCGUCGCGAGCCUAAGAGAUUAGGCUUUUCAGUUCGGCUGGACGAA
This 960-nucleotide ribosomal RNA is filed under the name uncultured bacterium. RNAcentral's name for it is "bacterial SSU rRNA". It matches the Rfam family "Bacterial small subunit ribosomal RNA", at positions 28 to 1031 of the family's 1533-position model. The record is from RNAcentral.